Molecule: ribosomal RNA, 253 nt
Filed under: uncultured bacterium
Lineage: Bacteria
Description: partial 16S ribosomal RNA
Rfam family: Bacterial small subunit ribosomal RNA
Source: RNAcentral
UACGGAGGGGGCUAGCGUUGUUCGGAAUUACUGGGCGUAAAGCGCGCGUAGGCGGACCUGCAAGUCGGGGGUGAAAGCCCGAGGCUCAACCUCGGAACUGCCUUCGAUACUGCGGGUCUCGAGUCCGGGAGAGGUGAGUGGAAUUCCUAGUGUAGAGGUGAAAUUCGUAGAUAUUAGGAAGAACACCAGUGGCGAAGGCGGCUACCUGGACCGAAACUGACGCUGAGACACGAAAGCGUGGGGAGCAAACAGG